AUCUCUUCUUGGCCUUUUGGCUAAGAUCAAAUGCAGUAUCUGUUCUUAUCAAUUUAUUCCAACAUUACCCAUUUCACAAAUAUUUCCUGUAAAAUCUCUAAUAAGUACACUAGCAAAUCCCGACUGACUAAAGAGCAGCAAAGCCAAUCACAAUCUUUGGUUUUUCACUGCAUCUUUU
RNAcentral lists this small nuclear RNA (178 nucleotides) under Cavia porcellus (domestic guinea pig). Its description in RNAcentral is "U2 spliceosomal RNA". It matches the Rfam family "U2 spliceosomal RNA". From Rfam's summary of the family: U2 is a small nuclear RNA (snRNA) component of the spliceosome (involved in pre-mRNA splicing). Complementary binding between U2 snRNA (in an area lying towards the 5' end but 3' to hairpin I) and the branchpoint sequence (BPS) of the intron results the bulging out of an unpaired adenosine, on the BPS, which initiates a nucleophilic attack at the intronic 5' splice site, thus starting the first of two transesterification reactions that mediate splicing. Lineage: Eukaryota; Metazoa; Chordata; Mammalia; Rodentia; Caviidae. The record is from Rfam by way of RNAcentral.